AACUUUUAACAAUGGAUCUCUUGGCUCUCGCAUCGAUGAAGAACGCAGCAAAAUGCGAUAAGUAAUGUGAAUUGCAGAAUUCAGUGAAUCAUCGAAUCUUUGAACGCACCUUGCGCUCCUUGGUAUUCCGAGGAGCACGCCUGUUCGAGUGUCGUGAAAUUCUCAAGCUGUGAUGCUUUUUUGUGACGCCACUUCGCUUGGUAUUGGGCUUUGCGGUUGUCCCCUUCAUUGGGGACGGGCGGGUGGCCUCGAAUGGAUUAGCUUUGAACCCUGUUGGUGAUGGGUUCUUCUCGGCGUUGUAAGAAUCUAACCGCUGAGCACAUCUGUUGGGAUGUCCAGCUCUCCUAGUGGUUGCUCUCUAAUCUGGAUUGCAGGAUUGCGGGAAUCUUUGCUCCUCCACUUUCAAUUUUGACCUCGAAUCAGGUGGGACUACCCGCUGAACUUAAGCAUAUCAAUAAGCGGAGGCU
RNAcentral lists this unclassified non-coding RNA (467 nucleotides) under uncultured Clavulina. Its description in RNAcentral is "sequence contains ITS2". The stretch from base 1 to 154 matches the Rfam family "5.8S ribosomal RNA". Lineage: Eukaryota; Fungi; Basidiomycota; Agaricomycetes; Cantharellales; Hydnaceae. The record is from RNAcentral.